Paramisgurnus dabryanus is the source of this 499-nucleotide long non-coding RNA. RefSeq lists it as uncharacterized. NCBI's taxonomy places the organism in Eukaryota, Metazoa, Chordata, Actinopteri, Cypriniformes, Cobitidae. The record is from RefSeq and is a predicted model, not a curated record.
CUCCAUCAAAGGCAUACUGUAGGCCUGGCACGUCUUGUCUACUAGCUUCAAUAUGAAUCCGAUUAAAUGUGAUGGGGUCAAGGCCCCAUUUCAUCAGCACAUAACGGCGAUGAUGAUGAGGAGACCAUCUCGCUGGAUUCCAAAAGGCAUAAGGACCCAGAGUCAUUGGUGCACUGGACUGCACAAACAUAAGGAUAAAAGCCCCCUCAGGUGCCCAUGAGGCAGAUUUUGUAAAUAUGAAAUCUUUUUACAGCAUUAAUGUUCAGGUGAACAUAACUUUUUGAUCUUUUCCAUUGAACACUGGCAAAAUGGCCUGGCUCAGUCCAUGACUCCAGAAUCUUUUGGACCUCUGAAAUCUAUCAGCGCCUAUCACAAGGUGAAUUCUCUGGUGUGUUGCUGGUAGACAGGGGGUAAGGCUGCCAGCCGUUUUUCCUGACACCUUUCACAGACCCCCAGGAAGCAAAGCAGGCCUACAACUAUGCCCAUGCUAGGGCCAGAG